This 230-nucleotide long non-coding RNA is filed under the name Malus domestica (apple). RNAcentral's name for it is "long non-coding RNA (MDOM_LNC018694)". The record is from RNAcentral. Lineage: Eukaryota; Viridiplantae; Streptophyta; Magnoliopsida; Rosales; Rosaceae.
CAUAGUCUAUAUACAUGGGAUGGAAAUCUAUAUUGAUAGAUUUUAGGAUAUAAUUUGAUUAUAUUAAUCCCUAAUAAUAGACAAAAGAUGCUAGGAAGUUUCUCAUAUGAUGAUAAACUUUAAUCAGAAGAACAACUCUGGUGAGACUAGGAGGUAGCUCUUCUCAAAGGGAACGUACCCUUUGACUCCCAAAGAAAUAAUGCGUAAAUAGAAUCCUUUAUGCGUAAGCA